This 340-nucleotide long non-coding RNA is filed under the name Ursus maritimus (polar bear). RNAcentral describes it as "lncRNA (ENSUMAG00000013189.1)". The record is from RNAcentral. Lineage: Eukaryota; Metazoa; Chordata; Mammalia; Carnivora; Ursidae.
AGAGCAGAGCCCACAGAAACCUAGAGCUGAAGGAGCAUUUCUAGCCACCAUGAGCAAGAAGACGGGGACCAGCCCGGAAGUCUCUCCAAGAGCCCCAAAGUCCAGGAAUCCCCACCAAAGGAUUCAGAAACAGCGCCCACAGUCCGGGGCCCCUCUGAACGCCUAAUUUAGAUCCCACACCUGCUCGGCUUUCCUGCUUCCGGAACCCACGCUGGACCCCCCACCUCUCGGACAGCCUGCCUGGCACUGGCCAGACCCUUCCCCCGACCCCGCGCUACUCCCCUGGGUGUGCGCAUAUGCGCGCGCUCUCCCAGUCCCCCUUUACCUUCUAGAGGAAAAG